This 434-nucleotide ribosomal RNA is filed under the name uncultured bacterium. RNAcentral's name for it is "bacterial SSU rRNA". It matches the Rfam family "Bacterial small subunit ribosomal RNA", at positions 957 to 1392 of the family's 1533-position model. The record is from RNAcentral.
UAACGCGAAGAACCUUACCAGGUCUUGACAUCCUUUGACCACUCUAGAGAUAGAGCUUUCCCUUCGGGGACAAAGUGACAGGUGGUGCAUGGUUGUCGUCAGCUCGUGUCGUGAGAUGUUGGGUUAAGUCCCGCAACGAGCGCAACCCUUAUUACUAGUUGCCAGCAUUUAGUUGGGCACUCUAGUGAGACUGCCGGUGACAAACCGGAGGAAGGUGGGGACGACGUCAAAUCAUCAUGCCCCUUAUGACCUGGGCUACACACGUGCUACAAUGGAUGGUACAAAGGGCAGCGAAGCCGCGAGGUGAAGCCAAUCCCAUAAAACCAUUCUCAGUUCGGAUUGUAGGCUGCAACUCGCCUACAUGAAGCCGGAAUCGCUAGUAAUCGCGGAUCAGCAUGCCGCGGUGAAUACGUUCCCGGGCCUUGUACACACCG